GGAGAGGUGUCCGAGUGGCUUAAGGAGCACGCUUGGAAAGCGUGUGUGUCGUAUUCCGGCACCGAGGGUUCAAAUCCCUCCCUCUCCGCCA
This 91-nucleotide transfer RNA is filed under the name Planctomycetota bacterium. Its description in RNAcentral is "tRNA-Ser". It matches the Rfam family "tRNA". From Rfam's summary of the family: Transfer RNA (tRNA) molecules are approximately 80 nucleotides in length. The record is from RNAcentral. Lineage: Bacteria; Pseudomonadati; Planctomycetota.